AAGAGAUAACUCUUUAAAAACCUUUGCCAAGUAAGCCGCCUAUAUAGUCAUAAUUUUAAGGCUUCAAAAUCAUGCAAAAGCUUGUUUCAGUACAAAUAUAGGGAAUUAUAAUUAUUUUCAUGGUCUGCGUUUUGUUUUAUUGUCUCUUGUAAGGUUCCUGUCUUUUAUUUUGUAAUUCAUUAGUUGUCUUUUAUUUUGAUGUUCUAUGUUCAUUUCCUGUCCUGGUCAUUUUUGUGAAUUAGUUGCUUUGUUGUUAGUUGUCUAGUUGUGUUGUUCUUAUGUAUCUCCGAGUAUUUCCUGCUCCUUAUUGUGAAUUGAACAUUUUCUGAAGUCAUUUGUGCGCUGCGAGAGCUGCCAGCAAGGGUGGAACUGAAGGAACACAGUCGAUGAGAACAUGAAGAGCUUCAAGGUUGAGCUCUUGUCUGAUAAGUACAGGGUCGCCGCUCAUGUCAUGGUGAACCAAGCUGAAAAAGUCCCCAGUCUUCCCGGAUGUCGUCUGAAUCACUACUGCCUGGCAUGAAGUUGAAAAGACAAAACCACUGACCAGGAGAGGGGAAUUCUCCAUCGUGACGACUGAAGAAUCUGAUCAUUGCUCAGGGCAGAGGUUCCUCCAAUUGAAAAUAAGUCAAACCAGUUUCUUAAUUUGUAAAAAGGGUUGAGAAAUAUUCCCCAGUUGUGGAUCUUGCAGAAACCACAUGGUGUCCCAAAGGGGCACUAGGACGAGUGAGCAGGAUGUGAAAGCACACGAUAACACGCGUCAAAUCCAACAGAAUCAGCGCUGGUCUUUCGUUCAAGGUUUGGUACUCUUACGGCACCUCAGCUAUUUACAUGAACUUCAAAUAUUAGGAGCGAAUAAGUGAAUGAGUCAAAACAAAAGCCAGACAGUGUGUUUAGAGUAAAAAUGUCCUUGCUGUAAAACAAAACAAAAAACAAUUCAAUGUCUUUCUGUCUAGUCUUGCAAAGACACUUGCUGUACUGCUUCUCAUAUUUUGCUCCAAGGUGUCCAUAUUUUUACAUUAAAUAAGCUUGGAAAGUGCAGGCUUCACU
This is a long non-coding RNA of Misgurnus anguillicaudatus (oriental weatherfish), 1047 nucleotides long. RefSeq lists it as uncharacterized. NCBI's taxonomy places the organism in Eukaryota, Metazoa, Chordata, Actinopteri, Cypriniformes, Cobitidae. The record is from RefSeq and is a predicted model, not a curated record.